CAGCUCGUGUCGUGAGAUGUUGGUUAGUCCGCACGAGCGCAACCCUCGACCUUAGUUGCCAGCAUUCAGUUGGGCACUCUAAGGUGACUGCCGGCUAAAAGUCGGAGGAAGGUGGGGAUGACGUCAAAUCAUCAUGCCCCUUAUGACCUGGGCUACACACGUGCUACAAUGGUUGGUACAACGAGUUGCGAGUCGGUGACGGCGAGCUAAUCUCUUAAAGCCAAUCUCAGUUCGGAUUGUAGGCUGCAACUCGCCUACAUGAAGUCGGAAUCGCUAGUAAUCGCGGAUCAGCACGCCGCGGUGAAUACGUUCCCGGGCCUU
This 321-nucleotide ribosomal RNA is filed under the name uncultured Streptococcus sp. RNAcentral describes it as "bacterial SSU rRNA". It matches the Rfam family "Bacterial small subunit ribosomal RNA", at positions 1056 to 1382 of the family's 1533-position model. The record is from RNAcentral. Lineage: Bacteria; Bacillati; Bacillota; Bacilli; Lactobacillales; Streptococcaceae.